This is a non-coding RNA of Citrus sinensis (sweet orange), 117 nucleotides long. The record is from Rfam. NCBI's taxonomy places the organism in Eukaryota, Viridiplantae, Streptophyta, Magnoliopsida, Sapindales, Rutaceae.
AGCCGUGCGGUGAGCACAGAGCGAACUAUUCUUUCGCCUUUUACUAAAGAAUACCGUGUGCUCGCCGCUGAGAGCGGCAUACGCCUAUUUUUGGAGGGAUGUUUCUUCGGAAUUGCC